Molecule: ribosomal RNA, 468 nt
Filed under: uncultured bacterium
Lineage: Bacteria
Description: partial 16S ribosomal RNA
Rfam family: Bacterial small subunit ribosomal RNA
Source: RNAcentral
UACUAACGCUGGCGGCGUGCUUAACACAUGCAAGUCGAACGGAAAGGCCCUGCUUUUGUGGGGUGCUCGAGUGACGAACGGGUGAGUAACACGUGAGUAACCUGCCCUUGACUUUGGGAUAACUUCAGGAAACUGGGGCUAAUACCGGAUAGGAGCUCCUGCUGCAUGGUGGGGGUUGGAAAGUUUCGGCGGUUGGGGAUGGACUCGCGGCUUAUCAGCUUGUUGGUGGGGUAGUGGCUUACCAAGGCUUUGACGGGUAGCCGGCCUGAGAGGGUGACCGGCCACAUUGGGACUGAGAUACGGCCCAGACUCCUACGGGAGGCAGCAGUGGGGAAUAUUGCACAAUGGGCGGAAGCCUGAUGCAGCAACGCCGCGUGCGGGAUGACGGCCUUCGGGUUGUAAACCGCUUUCGCCUGUGACGAAGCGUGAGUGACGGUAAUGGGUAAAGAAGCACCGGCUAACUACGUG